Molecule: ribosomal RNA, 1372 nt
Filed under: uncultured bacterium
Lineage: Bacteria
Description: bacterial SSU rRNA
Rfam family: Bacterial small subunit ribosomal RNA
Source: RNAcentral
GAUGAACGCUGGCGGCGUGCCUAAUACAUGCAAGUCGAGCGAACGGACGAGAAGCUUGCUUCUCUGAUGUUAGCGGCGGACGGGUGAGUAACACGUGGAUAACCUACCUAUAAGACUGGGAUAACUUCGGGAAACCGGAGCUAAUACCGGAUAAUAUUUUGAACCGCAUGGUUCAAAAGUGAAAGACGGUCUUGCUGUCACUUAUAGAUGGAUCCGCGCUGCAUUAGCUAGUUGGUAAGGUAACGGCUUACCAAGGCAACGGUGCAUAGCCGACCUGAGAGGGUGAUCGGCCACACUGGAACUGAGACACGGUCCAGACUCCUACGGGAGGCAGCAGUAGGGAAUCUUCCGCAAUGGGCGAAAGCCUGACGGAGCAACGCCGCGUGAGUGAUGAAGGUCUUCGGAUCGUAAAACUCUGUUAUUAGGGAAGAACAUAUGUGUAAGUAACUGUGCACAUCUUGACGGUACCUAAUCAGAAAGCCACGGCUAACUACGUGCCAGCAGCCGCGGUAAUGCGUAGGUGGCAAGCGUUAUCCGGAAUUAUUGGGCGUAAAGCGCGCGUAGGCGGUUUUUUAAGUCUGAUGUGAAAGCCCACGGCUCAACCGUGGAGGGUCAUUGGAAACUGGAAAACUUGAGUGCAGAAGAGGAAAGUGGAAUUCCAUGUGUAGCGGUGAAAUGCGCAGAGAUAUGGAGGAACACCAGUGGCGAAGGCGACUUUCUGGUCUGUAACUGACGCUGAUGUGCGAAAGCGUGGGGAUCAAACAGGAUUAGAUACCCUGGUAGUCCACGCCGUAAACGAUGAGUGCUAAGUGUUAGGGGGUUUCCGCCCCUUAGUGCUGCAGCUAACGCAUUAAGCACUCCGCCUGGGGAGUACGACCGCAAGGUUGAAACUCAAAGGAAUUGACGGGGACCCGCACAAGCGGUGGAGCAUGUGGUUUAAUUCGAAGCAACGCGAAGAACCUUACCAAAUCUUGACAUCCUUUGACAACUCUAGAGAUAGAGCCUUCCCCUUCGGGGGGCAAAGUGACAGGUGGUGCAUGGUUGUCGUCAGCUCGUGUCGUGAGAUGUUGGGUUAAGUCCCGCAACGAGCGCAACCCUUAAGCUUAGUUGCCAUCAUUAAGUUGGGCACUCUAAGUUGACUGCCGGUGACAAACCGGAGGAAGGUGGGGAUGACGUCAAAUCAUCAUGCCCCUUAUGAUUUGGGCUACACACGUGCUACAAUGGACAAUACAAAGGGCAGCGAAACCGCGAGGUCAAGCAAAUCCCAUAAAGUUGUUCUCAGUUCGGAUUGUAGUCUGCAACUCGACUACAUGAAGCUGGAAUCGCUAGUAAUCGUAGAUCAGCAUGCUACGGUGAAUACGUUCCCGGGUCU